ACAGCCAUAUUGCAUUCAAACACUGGUUCUCAUACAAAUACCAAAGUUAAGCAAUGUUGAGUUUGGUCAGUACUUAGAUGGGUGACUACUUGGGAAUACCAGGUGUU
Molecule: non-coding RNA, 107 nt
Organism: Acanthosepion pharaonis
Lineage: Eukaryota; Metazoa; Mollusca; Cephalopoda; Sepiida; Sepiidae
Source: the annotation of a GenBank genome assembly